GACGAACGCUGGCGGUGUGCUUAACGCAUGCAAGUCGAACGGUAAGGCCCUUUCGGGGGUACACGAGUGGCGAACGGGUGAGUAACACGUGAGUAACCUGCCCUCAUCUCUGGGAUAACAGUCGGAAACGGUUGCUAAUACUGGAUAUGAGCUUGCAAGGCAUCUUGUGGGUUGGAAAGAUUUUUUUUGGUUGGGGAUGGACUCGCGGCCUAUCAGCUUGUUGGUGAGGUAGUGGCUCACCAAGGCUUCGACGGGUAGCCGGCCUGAGAGGGCGACCGGCCACAUUGGGACUGAGAUACGGCCCAAACUCCUACGGGAGGCAGCAGUGGGGAAUAUUGCACAAUGGACGGAAGUCUGAUGCAGCAACGCCGCGUGCGGGAUGACGGCCUUCGGGUUGUAAACCGCUUUCAAUUGUGACGAAGCUUUUUUGUGACGGUAGCAGUAGAAGAAGCACCGGCUAACUACGUG
Molecule: ribosomal RNA, 468 nt
Filed under: uncultured bacterium
Lineage: Bacteria
Description: partial 16S ribosomal RNA
Rfam family: Bacterial small subunit ribosomal RNA
Source: RNAcentral